GACGUAGGAGGCGAGCGUUGUCCGGAUUCAUUGGGCGUAAAGAGCGCGCAGGCGGCUUGGUAAGUCGGAUGUGAAAUCCCGAGGCUCAACCUCGGGUCUGCAUCCGAUACUGCCCGGCUAGAGGUGGGUAGGGGAGAUCGGAAUUCCUGGUGUAGCGGUGAAAUGCGCAGAUAUCAGGAAGAACACCCGUGGCGAAGGCGGCUCUCUGGGACGGUACUGACGCUGAGACGCGAAAGCGUGGGGAGCGAACAGG
RNAcentral lists this ribosomal RNA (253 nucleotides) under uncultured bacterium. Its description in RNAcentral is "partial 16S ribosomal RNA". It matches the Rfam family "Bacterial small subunit ribosomal RNA", at positions 524 to 776 of the family's 1533-position model. The record is from RNAcentral.